Molecule: ribosomal RNA, 492 nt
Filed under: uncultured bacterium
Lineage: Bacteria
Description: partial 16S ribosomal RNA
Rfam family: Bacterial small subunit ribosomal RNA
Source: RNAcentral
AGUGAACGCUGGCGGUAGGCCUAACACAUGCAAGUCGAACGGCAGCACAGUAAGAGCUUGCUCUUACGGGUGGCGAGUGGCGGACGGGUGAGGAAUACAUCGGAAUCUACUUUUUCGUGGGGGAUAACGUAGGGAAACUUACGCUAAUACCGCAUACGACCUACGGGUGAAAGCAGGGGAUCUUCGGACCUUGCGCGAUUGAAUGAGCCGAUGUCGGAUUAGCUAGUUGGCGGGGUAAAGGCCCACCAAGGCGACGAUCCGUAGCUGGUCUGAGAGGAUGAUCAGCCACACUGGAACUGAGACACGGUCCAGACUCCUACGGGAGGCAGCAGUGGGAAAUAUUGGACAAUGGGCGCAAGCCUGAUCCAGCCAUACCGCGUGGGUGAGGAAGGCCUUCGGGUUGUAAAGCCCUUUUGUUGGGAAAGAAAAGCAGCAGGUUAAUACCCCGCUGUUCUGACGGUACCCAAAGAAUAAGCACCGGCUAACUUCGUG